UACGGAGGGUGCGAGCGUUGUCCGGAAUCACUGGGCGUAAAGGGCGCGUAGGCGGCUCAUGAAGGCUGUGGUGAAAGUCCGGGGCUCAACCUCGGAUCGGCCGUGGCGACUCGUGAGCUGGAGCACUGUAGAGGCGGGUGGAAUUCCGGGUGUAGCGGUGGAAUGCGUAGAGAUCCGGAAGAACACCAGUGGCGAAGGCGGCCCGCUGGGCAGUGGCUGACGCUGAAGCGCGACAGCGUGGGGAGCAAACAGG
RNAcentral lists this ribosomal RNA (253 nucleotides) under uncultured bacterium. Its description in RNAcentral is "partial 16S ribosomal RNA". It matches the Rfam family "Bacterial small subunit ribosomal RNA", at positions 524 to 776 of the family's 1533-position model. The record is from RNAcentral.